UACGUAGGGUGCAGGCGUUAAUCGGAAUUACUGGGCGUAAAGCGUGCGCAGGCGGUUUGCUAAGACAGGUGUGAAAUCCCCGGGCUUAACCUGGGAACUGCGCUUGUAACUGGCAAGCUUGAGUGUGGCAGAGGGGGGUGGAAUUCCACGUGUAGCAGUGAAAUGCGUAGAUAUGUGGCGGAACACCGAUGGCGAAGGCAGCCCCCUGGGCUGAGAUUGACGCUCAGGCACGAAAGCGUGGGGAGCAAACAGG
Molecule: ribosomal RNA, 253 nt
Filed under: uncultured bacterium
Lineage: Bacteria
Description: partial 16S ribosomal RNA
Rfam family: Bacterial small subunit ribosomal RNA
Source: RNAcentral